GGGAGGUCUUGGAAGUAGGACACGUCCUGCGUCCGGACCUGAGGGACGCUCGGGCUGAAGCGGCGGGAGGAGAAGAGCCUCGCCCGAGCCCAGGAAUAGGUGAUUUCCUCCUUAGGCAGUUCAAAGUUCACAGUGCAAGAGAACUUAGCUUCAUGACCCCGAGCCACCGUCAAGUCCUGAACUGAAAACAGGUCCGCGUCACCGCCCGAGCCCUCCCCCGUUUCGCCGGGUCGCUUCCCCGCUCAGCUCCCGUUCCUCCGGUCCGGGCGGUUCCUUCCCUUCCAGGCCCCGCCCCUCACCUGGGCAGUCCAGCGGGAGGUCGCAGACCGUGGAGUAGCACCCGCGACAGCGGAAACGCCGGGCGACCUCCUGGAGUCCUGCGGGACGGAAACGCUGCACCUGGGCUCCAUCCGCGUUCCCCAGCCCGGGUCCCUCUGGCCAGGGUUCUUAUUGGUCUCCUGUUCUAAAUGCCGGGUUUCGCUCCCGACCACCUCCCUUCCCCCUCAAUUCGGAGUUUGGGAUGAAGAGCUUACCGCAUGGAGGGAUGCAGGCCUGGACUGUGGAGAGAGAGGAAGCGUUACUAUCCUGGAAGGCCUGGAGGUGCUUACCUGAAGCUCCCCUAGAGGACAGGUCAUGAUCUCAGGGUUGUGAGAUCAAACCCUGCGUUGGGCUCUGCACUCAACACAGAUUCUGCUUGGGAUUCUCUCUCUCCCUUGGCCCCUUCCUGUGCUCUCUGUCUGAACUGUGUCCCUCCCAAACUCAUAAUGUUGAAGGCUAACCCCCAGGACCUGGGAAUGUGACUGCACUUGGAUAUACAGCCUUAAAGAGGUAAUUAAGUUAUAAUUAGGCCAUUAGGGUGGGCCCUGAUCCAGUGUGACUGAUUGCCCUAUAAGAGGAGAUCUGGACACUGACACACCGAGGGGAGAACAUGUGAAGACACAGGAGAGAGAGAAGAUGGACAUCUACAAGCCAGAGAGAAAGGCCUGAGAAGGAACCAACCCUGCUCACAUUGACACCUUGAUCUUGGACUUCUAGCCUCCAGAAUUGUGAACAAAUACAUUUCUAUCUUUUAAGCAACCCAGUGUAUGGCACUUUGUUAAAGGGGCCCUAGGAAACUGAUACCAGGGAUUGCUGGUUGCUUCCAAAUAUUUCUGUAGUAA
Molecule: long non-coding RNA, 1160 nt
Organism: Lontra canadensis (Northern American river otter)
Lineage: Eukaryota; Metazoa; Chordata; Mammalia; Carnivora; Mustelidae
Exons: 4
Source: RefSeq, a predicted model, not a curated record